This 68-nucleotide small nuclear RNA is filed under the name Cervus elaphus hippelaphus. The record is from RNAcentral. Lineage: Eukaryota; Metazoa; Chordata; Mammalia; Artiodactyla; Cervidae.
AACUUUGCACAGGGACUGCAUCAUAGCCGAUGAGGUUUAUCCAAGGCACGAUUAUUACAAAUAGAAAA